CUACGGGCCGCUCCAGUGAGGAAUAUUGCACAAUGGGGGGAACCCUGAUGCAGCAACGCCGCGUGGAGGAUGACGCAUUUCGGUGUGUAAACUCCUUUUAUAUGUCAAGAAAAUGACGGUAGCAUAUGAAUAAGCACCGGCUAACUCCGUGCCAGCAGCCGCGGUAAUACGGAGGGUGCAAGCGUGUACUCGGAAUCACUGGGCGUAAAGGAAGCGUAGGCGGGUUGGAAAGUCAGGUGUGAAAUCCUACAGCUUAACUGUAGAACUGCACUUGAAACUUCUAAUUUAGAGUAUGGGAGGGGGAGAUGGAAUUAGUGGUGUAGGGGUAAAAUCCGUAGAUAUCACUAGGAAUACCUAAAGCGAAGGCGAUCUCCUGGAACAUUACUGACGCUAAGGCGUGAAAGCGUGGGGAGCAAACAGGAUUAGAUACCCGUGUAGUC
This 440-nucleotide ribosomal RNA is filed under the name uncultured bacterium. Its description in RNAcentral is "partial 16S ribosomal RNA". It matches the Rfam family "Bacterial small subunit ribosomal RNA", at positions 339 to 795 of the family's 1533-position model. The record is from RNAcentral.